GGCAGGGAUGGAGGCAGGGAUGGAGGCCUGGAAGGGACGGUGGCAGGGAUGGAGGCCUGGAAGGGAUGGAGGCAGGGAUGGAGGCCUGGAAGGGAUGGAGGCAGGGAUGGAAGCCUGGAAGGGACGGUGGCAGGGAUGGGGGCUAUACAUGGGCUUAGCAACAUGGACUUCCUGUACAUGGUUGAUGCCAUUGCUGAGUGACUAAUCUGCCAGCAGAAGAAACCGACACUAAACCCCUGAUAAGGCUCCAUAGUCACCUGGUUGGUUACAUGGAUUGUAACCAGUUACACUGGACCUGUUCGAAUAUGGAGAUAAGGCAUAGAUCUGAUCUCACUGGAAUAGACACAUAUUCUGGGUAUGGAUUUUGUUGAAGAAGCAGCCAUUGUGUGACCUGCUGCCUGCUUUGGGAUCAUCCAGUCAGUGCCCUGGGCCUGGAACGUCCCCCAAUGUGGAAGCUGGCUCUUCCUUGGCCCAGAUUCUUCUUCCUUUUUAGGAGAAAUCUUUCCCCAUUUCUGAAUAAGCAGUGAGCUUCUUGUAUUGCUGAAACAUGUGCAUCAUAUGGCACCUUGCCAGCCCCACCAGUUUAUCUGCCCCUGUAGGAAGAGUGGGGUCUUUGCCUGUAGCAUGAGAGGGGUUCGUGCCUGGUGGGGGCGGGGGGUGUUGGGAAGAGGAUCUGGAGCCAAGUGGGCCAGAAGGGGUGGGAAUAGGCCUCUGGGAGGGCUCAGGGCUCUGCCUUAUUGGCUGUGAGAUGGAACUGAGAGAGACAGGUUUGCUUUAUUUAAGGGUGCUACCCACUCAUAGUUUAAAUUCUUUUUCAAAGCAUAGAGUAAAGGAUAAAAAGCACAAGCUGCCAGCAUUCCAUUUCUCUCCAAUUCCACAGUCAAACUCCCCAGGUGUAGCCCCCAUUAAAAUAGUUUCAUCUGUGUCCUUUUAGAAAUUUUCCUCUGAAAAACAGGGAUUUGGGGGGAAGACGGUCAGUUUAGGUUGGACCCUUGAGACUGAGGUGCUGUCUGACAUCCAGGGGGAGGAUGCUGGAGGCAAUGGAGAAGAAGGGUCUAGAGUUUAAUAGAAGGAUCUGGACUGAAGAUUUUUAUGAUACAUCCUCAGAAAAGUCCAUUUUUGGAGCCUGGUAUGCCAGCAAUUGCCGUGAUAAUGAUUUUUCCUGGAUGUUAACGUGAAGACCAUUGUUCCUAAGCUUGGGAACAUCAUAGGUGACCAUGCCCUUUUUCAAUAAGGUAUUUGCACAUGUUGCGGUGGUAAAUCUCUUCUGCUUGAAAUCGUUUUAGUUCAAGGAUCCCACUGCAUGGCUUCACACCCUGGCUAUCUGGAAAGAGUUCCGUCCACGUUUAUGACCUCAGUGUUGGGGGAGUUAGAGUUACUCUUGACCACAGGGAAGUUUUUAGUGGAGUACAUUUCAUCAUUGGGCACAACUUCUGCCCUCUCAGCCUCAAAAAAUAUUACUAAAAAGAAAUUAGGGCUGAGUUUUAUUUUCUGUAAUGAUGACCAGCAUGUUUCACCCUAAUGCUCACACCAAGAACAACUAGAAAAGUUG
This is a long non-coding RNA of Equus caballus (horse), 1552 nucleotides long. The record is from Ensembl. NCBI's taxonomy places the organism in Eukaryota, Metazoa, Chordata, Mammalia, Perissodactyla, Equidae.